Molecule: long non-coding RNA, 4838 nt
Organism: Cavia porcellus (domestic guinea pig)
Lineage: Eukaryota; Metazoa; Chordata; Mammalia; Rodentia; Caviidae
Exons: 4
Source: RefSeq, a predicted model, not a curated record
GGUUUGGGUGGAACCUAAGGCGGGCAUUAGGGAUGCACAGGUAGCCCAUUGGCCCUAGGUUUGGCACCAUAGUUAAAUUCCCAGGGGCGGGAAGAUGGCAUCACAGGUAAAUUCCUCCGGAGGGGGAGAUAGGGCAAGUGAUCCUAUAUGUAAACAGUUGUGUAAGUCAGCGAUGAUGUCUAAGGCCUGUUGAUGUGGGAGAACAAGUUUAGAUCCCUGAAAAAUCCAUCCCUGAAUGUUUUGUGUGUAACCUGAUUUAUGAAGUAGCUGUAACUGCUCUGGUGAAUAAUUAGGCUGAGGUAGACUGUUUGGGACUAACGGGAGAAGAUGAGAAGGGCAGGGCCCUUGUGCAGCUAGCUUGGCUUGUGAAUCUGCAAAGGCAUUGCCUUGAGCAAUAGGAUCUGUAGAGUUUUGGUGUCCUCUACAAUGAAUAACUGCUGCCUGCUUUGAAAGUUGGGCUGCUUCUAGAAGUUUAAGGAUAAAGGGAGCAUUAAUGAUGGGGGUUCCUUGAGUGGUAAUAAAACCCCGUUUUUGCCAGAUAGAGGCAGGAGAGUGUAAAAUGCUAAAUGUAUACUUUGAGUCAGUGUAUGUAUUUAUAAUCUUACCUUUUGCUAGUGUAAGAGCCCUUGUAAGGGCAAUAAGUUCUGCCCUUUGGGAAGAGGUCCCAGGUGGCAGUAGAUUUGCCUCUAUAACUUUUGACUGGUUAACUAUUGCGUAUCCUGCCUUUUUUUGGUUGUCUGUGUUUGUUGAACUGCCAUCUAUGAACCAUGUGUCAAAGGCCAAAGAGAGAGGUGUGCUACUGAUGUGAGGGAAAGGGGUGGGAGUCAUCUGUAAGACCUCAAUACAGUCAUGGUGAUGGUGGCCCUCCGAGGUGGGAAGUAAGGUGGCUAUAUUUAGAGGACCACUAGUUGCAAUAGAGAUGCAAGGGUCUUGAGAGAGAGCUAAGUGUACCUGUUGAAGGCGAGAAGGGGUCAUUAGGGCAGGGAGCACCUUAUGUGAGAUAAACUCACGUAGGUGAUGAGGUGAGUGUACUGUAAUAGAUUGCCCUAAUGUAAACUUUUUAGCUUCCUGUGUCAAGAGGGCUGCAGCUACAAGAGCUCAGAGACAAGGAGCCCAUCCUUUUACUGUGUGAUCUAACUGUUUUGAUAAGUAAGCUACUGCUUGAAAAUAAGGUCCCUUUUUGUGUCCUAGUACACCUAUAGCAUUGUGGCCCUGAAAGGUAGUGUAUAGGAUGAAAGGUUGGGUGGGAUCAGGAAGGGUAAGAGCUGGAGCUUUUAGGAGAGCCUCUUUUAAUUUAUGAAAGGAGGCAUGUAUGGGCCUAGUAGGGUCCAGGGGUUCUGAUAAGGGACCCUUAGCGGCCUUGUAAAGGGGUUGAGCUAGGGCUGCAAGUUAGGAAUCCAGAGAUGAAAGAAAUUAGCUAGACCUAGGAAAGAUGUAACCUGCUGUUUAGUUGUGGGCACCUGGAGAUCACGAAGAAUUGCCUUACAAUCUGAGGUGAUGGAGCGAGUAGUGGGGGUGAGAGCGAGACCUUGGUAUUUGACUUUUGGGGAAGCUAUCUGGGCUUUAGCAGGAGAGACCCUGUAUCCAUGACUAGCAAAGAAAUUAAGAAGACUGGCUGAGUGGUGUAUGGCUAACAUAUGGGAUGGAGAACAUAAUAGAAGGUCGUCUAUAUAUUGAAGGAGAACACUAGGUUUGACAUCAAGUUCUGUGAGGUCAGUAGCGAGAGCCUGACUAAAGAAGUGGGGACUAUCUCUGAACCCUUGGGGGAGCACUGUCCAAGUAAGUUGUUGAGAACUGAGAGUGUCUGGGUCAGUCCAUGUAAACACAAAGAGGUUUGGCAAUCAGGGUGUAGGGAGAUAGUGAAGAAGGCAUUUUUAAGAUCUAUAACUGUAAAGUGAGUGGUGGAGGGAGGGAUAUGAGAGAGCAUGGUAUAAGGAUUUGGCACCACUGGGUGAGUGGGGGUAACAGCACUGUUAAUUACCCUAAGGUCCUGUACCAGGCGAUAAAACCCAUCAGCCUUAAGUACUGGGAGAAUGGGAGUACUGUGGGGUGAUUGGGUAGGUUUAAGAAAACCGUUGUCUAAAAGCCGCUUAAUUAUGGGUUUAAGUCCCCUUAAAUGUUGGGGGGCUAUGGGGUAUUGGGGAACACAGGGAAAAGUUGAGGGAUUCCUGAGAUGGAUCAAAACAGGCGUGGCAUGUGUAGCCAGAGUGGGAUUGGAUGUGUCCCAAACUAUGGGGUCAACCAGAGAAGGAGGAAGGGGAGGGAAUGGCUUUGUGACAUAUUGUGAGGCUGUUUGGAGAAUUAGGGCUGUGGGGAGAGAGAAAGUGAAGGAAAAAUUAAGCUUUUGAAGAAGAUCUCUACCUAAAAGGGGUGUGGAACAUGUUGGGAUUACUAGGAAGCUAUGGGUAAAAAAAAAAAAAAAGAGUCUGGAAUCUACACAGGAUAGGCCCAGUCUGCAAAGGUUGAUUAGGCUGGCCAUCAACGCCCGCAACAGAAAUCAAGGAUUUACUACAAGGUCCUGAGAAUUCAGGAAGUACACUAUAAGUCGCCCCCGUAUCCACAAGCAGAGAUAUUAUCUUACCUGAGACUUCCAGUGAGACUCGGGCUCCGACAAGGUUACCGGAGUGGGGGCUGUGAGCCCCGAGCCCCGUCAAUCUUCUGCAGCAAGUCCAAGCAGGUCAGUCAGCCACGAAUCUGGCAUUGACAGAGUCUCCUGUGAGGGCGAGGGAUUAGAGGAUGGUUUACCCACUCGUUGGCGGCUAGGAUAGUCACUCUUCCAAUGCCCUUUAAGGUUGCAGUAUGGACAAGGUCCUGGAGGAAUACCAGGGUUAGGGCAAUCUUUUGCCCAGUGUCCUUGUUUGCUGCACUUUAAGCACGGUCUGGGCAGGACUCGGGCAGCCACACCUUGUUGCGGAUUUUUUGUCUUGGGAGCUCUGAGUGCCACUGCUAAGAGGUCAGACUGAUAUUUAGCAAACUUUAAUUUUUGAGCUUGUUUUUCCUCCUUUUGAACCUUAUCUCUAUUGUUGAAUACACAGAAGGCUAAUUUAAUAGAUCCCCUUGUGGAGUUUGAGGGCCAUGUUCAACCUUUUGUAAUUUUGCACGAAUAUCAGGAGCAGACUGUGAAAUAAAAGAAGAGUUAACAACAAUCAUCCCUUCAUGAGAGUCUGGGUUUACAUUAGUAUACUUGAUUAAGAUUUCCCGAAGCCGAUUUAAAAACACAGCAGGGUUUUCGUUAGCCUCCUGGACCUGUUCUAAAAGCUUGUUGUAGUUAGUAUGCUUGUGAGCAAUCUUAUUAAGGCCCACAAUCAGACACUCAAUCAUCUUAUGUAAUUUUUUUUUUGUCUUUUUCAUUUUUAUCGGUACCAGGGAUUGAACUCACGACUGCCUGCUUGCAAGGCAGGUGCUUAUGCCGCUGAGCUAAAUCUCCAGCCCCUUAUGUAAUUUUUUGAACCUUGUCCAUUCUGAUAGUUCCAGUCAGGUUCUUGGUCUGGCACAGCUACAGGCCCAGGGUCAUUUUCAGUGGUGUUCGCUCUAUGCCUGUGAUCAGCUUCUUCUUGAGCUGCCUGCUACAGCUGAUUUCGCUCUUGUGAGCUAAGGAUGGUAUUUAAAAUCACAUAAACAUCCUUAAAAUGUAAAUCAUAACAAUUAGUAAUGAAUUCAAAUUGCCUGAUAUAAUUCUGUGGGUCAACAGAGAAGCUACCUAAUUUAUGGGCAAUCUGGGAUAGAUCAGAAAGGGAAAAAGGCACAUGGAUGUUAACAAGUCCCUCGGGGCCCGCUUGCUCCCGAAGUGGUAGCAGAGCCUGAGGAGAAGAUUCCAGAGCAGAGGGCCAUUGGGCAGCCAUCCGUCCAGUAGACGCGUGUGAGCAAUCAUCUGUAGAGCAGCUACAGAGCUGCUGCUGGUCACCCUGGGAAACACAGGCAGAUGGCGUCUCACUGUGUGCCUUGCAGCAAGAGGACUGCUGUGGGCAGCACAAUGAAGCAUCAUGUGCACUGCAACAGGGCAGCUGUUGCAGUUCACAAGAGGAGCCACAAGGGGGCGCCCAUUGACAAGUGAGGGUCCUGGGAACAUGGCAGCACCCUGUUGCCAUGUGACCCUCCUGAACAUGGCAGCGCCAUGUCACGUGGCAGAGGGUUGCAACAUGGCGACUGUUCCCAGCGCAAGCUGGAACAAUCACACGGCCUGCUGGAAGGACAUGGCGACCGAGACCCAGUAUGAUGGGCAGGCGGUGAGAAUGCUGUAGGGGAUAGAGAAUUCUCAGGAGAACAAGAAAUGGGAGACUUUGAGGAAGUGCUAACAGAGUGAUUAGAGUUGCCGGGAGAAUUAUGGGUCCCGGAAGGCGGAAAAGGAGAUGAUCGCACAGCGGGAGAUAACUGCGACACAGAGGGAUUAGAGCUGCUGGGAGAGUUAUGGAUCCUGGGAGACAGAGGGGAAGAGGAUCGCACAGCGGGAGGUAACUGUGACUCAUUGGGACCAAGACUGCUGAGAGAAUCAGUACCAAGGAUCAAACUCACAACCCCGCGCUUGCAAGGCUAUACAAACCAUUGAGGGCCAGGAAGAGAGAAGCCAGAUCUCCUUCCCUGUGAGCCCGCCAGCAUGUGGGCUGAGAGUGAAGAACUCCCAUCCCUAAGCAACCAGCUGAUUCAGAGAACAGGGGAUCGAACUCAUGACUGCUGGCUUGCAAGGCAGGCGCUUAUGCAGCUGAGCUAAACCUCCAGCCCUCCUGCUUUGAAGUUCUGUACCACUCUCACUGCUUUGUUUGGAUUGGCUGUACCCUAUUUUGUUUGGUUGGGUUUUAUUCUCUUUAGAAUAAAAAUAAACCGAAUUAUUCUGCUGUAAA